Molecule: RNase P RNA, 213 nt
Filed under: Halioglobus sp.
Lineage: Bacteria; Pseudomonadati; Pseudomonadota; Gammaproteobacteria; Cellvibrionales; Halieaceae
Description: partial RNase P RNA component class A
Rfam family: Bacterial RNase P class A
About the family: Ribonuclease P (RNase P) is a ubiquitous endoribonuclease, found in archaea, bacteria and eukarya as well as chloroplasts and mitochondria. Its best characterised activity is the generation of mature 5'-ends of tRNAs by cleaving the 5'-leader elements of precursor-tRNAs.
Source: RNAcentral
CGAGUCGGUCAGGCGAUCGCUCUCGAGCCGCUUCACGGUGGCUCGGGGGAGGAAAGUCCGGGCUCCACAGGGCAGAGUGCCAGGUAACGCCUGGGGGGCGAAAGCCUACGGAAAGUGCAACAGAGAGUAAACCGCCCAAACGUGGCAAAAGCGGGGUCAGACCCCACUGCGUCAUUUGAGUGCCAUUUAUGGCUGGGUAAGGGUGAAAUGGUG